RNAcentral lists this ribosomal RNA (503 nucleotides) under uncultured bacterium. RNAcentral describes it as "partial 16S ribosomal RNA". It matches the Rfam family "Bacterial small subunit ribosomal RNA", at positions 28 to 523 of the family's 1533-position model. The record is from RNAcentral.
GAUGAACGCUAGCGACAGGCCUAACACAUGCAAGUCGAGGGGCAGCAUAUGCGUAGCAAUACAAUGGUGGCGACCGGCGCACGGGUGAGUAACACGUAUGCAACCUACCUGUAAGAGGGGAAUAACCCGGAGAAAUUCGGACUAACACCGCAUAAUACCGAUUAACUGCAUGGUUGAUCGGUUAAAUAUUUAUAGCUUACAGAUGGGCAUGCGUAACAUUAGAUAGUUGGUGAGGUAACGGCUCACCAAGUCAACGAUGUUUAGGGGUUCUGAGAGGAAGGUCCCCCACACUGGUACUGAGACACGGACCAGACUCCUACGGGAGGCAGCAGUGAGGAAUAUUGGUCGAUGGGCGAGAGCCUGAAACAGCCAAGUCGCGUGAAGGAAGAAGGUUCUAUGGAUUGUAAACUUCUUUUGUAAGGGAAUAAAAAAGCUUACGUGUAGGCUAUUGUAUGUACUUUACGAAUAAGGAUCGGCUAACUCCGUGCCAGCCGCCGCCGUAA